Molecule: ribosomal RNA, 321 nt
Filed under: Triticum aestivum (bread wheat)
Lineage: Eukaryota; Viridiplantae; Streptophyta; Magnoliopsida; Poales; Poaceae
Description: partial small subunit ribosomal RNA
Source: RNAcentral
UUGAUUUAUAGCAAAUCUUUGGAGGAACAUUUGGAACAUUUACGUGCUGUUUUUAUUGCUCUACGUGAUGCACGUUUGUUUGGUAACCUUGGAAAGUGCACCUUUUGCACCGACCGAGUAUCUUUUCUUGGCUAUGUUGUUACUCCACAGGGAAUUGAAGUUGAUAAAGCCAAGAUUGAAGCUAUUGAGAGUUGGCCGCAGCCCAAAACGGUCACACAAGUGAGGAGUUUCCUUGGCCUCGCUGGUUUCUAUAGGCGUUUUGUGAGAGAUUUCAGCACCAUUGCUGCACCUCUCAACGAGCUUACAAAGAAGGAUGUGCCU